GCAACUCGCCUACAUGAAGUCGGAAUUGCUAGUAAUCGCGGAUCAGCAUGCCGCGGUGAAUACGUUCCCGGGCCUUGUACACACCGCCCGUCACACCAUGGGAGUCGGUAACACCCGAAGCCUGUAGUCUAACCGCAAGGAGGACGCAGUCGAAGGUGGGAUUGAUGACUGGGGUGAAGUCGUAACAAGGUAGC
RNAcentral lists this ribosomal RNA (194 nucleotides) under uncultured bacterium. RNAcentral describes it as "partial 16S ribosomal RNA". It matches the Rfam family "Bacterial small subunit ribosomal RNA", at positions 1307 to 1500 of the family's 1533-position model. The record is from RNAcentral.